RNAcentral lists this transfer RNA (85 nucleotides) under Burkholderiales bacterium. RNAcentral's name for it is "tRNA-Leu". It matches the Rfam family "tRNA". From Rfam's summary of the family: Transfer RNA (tRNA) molecules are approximately 80 nucleotides in length. Their secondary structure includes four short double-helical elements and three loops (D, anti-codon, and T loops). The record is from RNAcentral. RNAcentral also lists the same sequence under 3 other names. Lineage: Bacteria; Pseudomonadati; Pseudomonadota; Betaproteobacteria; Burkholderiales.
GCGAAAGUGGCGGAAUUGGUAGACGCACCAGAUUUAGGUUCUGGCGCCGAAAGGCGUGGGGGUUCGAGUCCCUUCUUUCGCACCA